Long non-coding RNA from Acanthochromis polyacanthus (spiny chromis), 506 nucleotides. RefSeq lists it as uncharacterized. NCBI's taxonomy places the organism in Eukaryota, Metazoa, Chordata, Actinopteri, Pomacentridae. The transcript has 3 exons. The record is from RefSeq and is a predicted model, not a curated record.
CUAAGUUAUGAAGUUUUUCUACUUUUUCUGGAGCUAAGUUAUGGUGUUUUUCUAGUUAUUCUGGAGCUAAGUUAUGGGUUUUUUCUAGUUCUUCUGGAGCUAAGUUAUGGGGUUUUUCUACUUAUUCUGGAGCUAAGUUAUGGGUUUUUUCUAGUUCUUCUGGAGCUAAGUUAUGGGGUUUUUCUAGUUCUUCUGGAGCUAAGUUAUGGGGUUUUUCUAGUUCUUCUGGAGCUAAGUUAUGGGGUUUUUCUAGUUCUUCUGGAGCUAAGUUAUGGGGUUUUUCUAGUUCUUCUGGAGCUAAGUUAUGGGGUUUUUCUACUUAUUCUGGAGCUAAGUUAUGGGUUUUUCUAGUUCUUCUGGAGCUAAGUUAUGGGGUUUUUCUAGUUCUUCUGGAGCUAAGUUAUGGGGUUUUUCUAGUUCUUCUGGAGCUAAGUUAUGGGGUUUUUCUAGUUCUUUUGGAGCUAAGUUAUGGGGUUUUUCUAGUUAUUCUGGAGCUAAGUUAUUGG